UAUUAGUUUGAUUCUGACUAAAAAAUUAGUAAUAAUUAACAUUUCUUAUGCUUAAAAUAAAGUUAAACUAAAAUUUUAUAGGUAUCACAUAUAUGAGUUACUCCUAAAUAGCAGUGGUUGGAAUUGUAAUAAUAUACUAAUGUAUGAAACAAUUUAAAAUUAAUAAUUAGCCUAAGUCGUGCCAGCAGCAGCGGUUAAACGACAGAUUUCUAACAAGUAAAAUCAGAAAAGAUACAAUAAAUCUAGCUAAAGGUCAAAUUUCUAUACAUGAUGACCCCUAAGUAUCAAAAAUAAACUCUUAACUAAAACAAGGAUUAGAUACCCUUUUAUUUCUAAUUAAUUAUAAAGAUUGGAGACUACGAGCAAUAGCUUAAAAACCCAAGACCUUGGCGGUGUCUUAUUCAAUCAGGGGGACCUGUAUUAUAAUUCGACAGUCCACGUAUAAAACUUACCCUUUCUUGAUAUCAGCUUGUGUACUGCCGUCCAAUAGGCCCCUAAAGCACCCUAUAAUAAUUUUAACAAAAUUACGUCAGGUCAAAGUGCAGCUUAUUGAGAGGGAAAAUAUGGGUCACAGCCUAUAUUAUAGUAAAUUUAAAUUAAUAGUUAAUUUAACAUUUAGGACUUGAUAGUAAUUUUACUAAAAUAGUAAUAUGAAUUUGAACCUAAGACAAGCACACAUCGCCCGUCACUCCUUUAUACCGGAUAAGUCGUAACAUAGUAGGUGUAAUGGAAAUUGCAUCUAUCAAAUU
RNAcentral lists this ribosomal RNA (749 nucleotides) under Barbronia yunnanensis. RNAcentral describes it as "12S ribosomal RNA". The record is from RNAcentral. Lineage: Eukaryota; Metazoa; Annelida; Clitellata; Hirudinida; Salifidae.